GAUGAACGCUGGCGGCGUGCCUAAUACAUGCAAGUCGAGCGAACGGACGAGAAGCUUGCUUCUCUGAUGUUAGCGGCGGACGGGAGAGUAACACGUGGAUAACCUACCUAUAAGACUGGGAUAACUUCGGGAAACCGUAGCUAAUACCGGAUAAUAUUUUGAACCGCAUGGUUCAAAAGUGAAAGACGGUCUUGCUGUCACUUAUCGCUGGAUCCGCGCUGCAUUAGCUAGUUGGUAAGGUAACGGCUUACCAAGGCAACGAUGCAUAGCCGACCUGAGAGGCGGAUCGCCCGCACUGGAGCGUAGACACGGUCCAUACGCCUACGGGAGGCAGCAGUAGGGAAUCGUCCGCAAUGGGCGAAAGCCUGACGGAGCGGCGCCGCGUGAGUGAUGAAGGUCUUCGGAUCGUAAAACUCUGUUAUUAGUGAUGAACAGAUGUGUAAGUAACUGUGCACAUCUUGACGGUACCUAAUCAGGAAGCCACGGCUAACUACGUG
This 497-nucleotide ribosomal RNA is filed under the name uncultured bacterium. RNAcentral's name for it is "partial 16S ribosomal RNA". It matches the Rfam family "Bacterial small subunit ribosomal RNA", at positions 28 to 507 of the family's 1533-position model. The record is from RNAcentral.